UUGGUAACCAUGGCGGACGGGUGAGUAACGCGUAAAGAACUUACCUUUCAGACUGGGAUAACAGAGGGAAACUUCUGAUAAGACCGGAUAUAAUUAAUUGAUUGCAUGAGAGAUUAAUGAAAAGAGAUGCUGAAAGAGAGCUUUGCGUCCUAUUAGCUAGUUGGUAAGGUAAUGGCUUACCAAGGCGAUGAUAGGUAGCCGGCCUGAGAGGGUGGACGGCCACAAGGGGACUGAGAUACGGCCCUUACUCU
This 251-nucleotide ribosomal RNA is filed under the name uncultured Leptotrichia sp. Its description in RNAcentral is "partial 16S ribosomal RNA". It matches the Rfam family "Bacterial small subunit ribosomal RNA", at positions 86 to 339 of the family's 1533-position model. Lineage: Bacteria; Fusobacteriati; Fusobacteriota; Fusobacteriia; Fusobacteriales; Leptotrichiaceae. The record is from RNAcentral.